This 858-nucleotide long non-coding RNA is filed under the name Manihot esculenta (cassava). Its description in RNAcentral is "long non-coding RNA (MESC_LNC011468)". The record is from RNAcentral. Lineage: Eukaryota; Viridiplantae; Streptophyta; Magnoliopsida; Malpighiales; Euphorbiaceae.
GACUCGCGGUUGUCGAAGCCGGUCAAAAAUAACCUUUCUGGUUAUCAACAAUUUUACAACUGCAGAUAGUGGUGAAAGGAUCGAAUCCACAGAGAAUUGAUUACCUAUUUAUUUUUCUUAACAAGACCAAUAAAAUAAACUGAAACAAUAAUAAAUUAAAGAUGAGAUAAAAGACUGAAAGUGGGAUCAAAUGAGAUAAACUGGAAGCAGAAUAAAAAUAAAUUGCAAUAAAAGUAAAAUGGGGGGGGUUUGAGAUUGAUUGCAGUAACUAAUAAUGAGAGUAAUAAUAGAAAGCAAAUAAUUAAAAUAAAAGAGUAAAUCAAGAUGAGAAAAGCCUAGUUGAAGAUAUGGAUCCACUUUGGUUGUUUGGGUUGAUCAUUGAAACUUAAAUUAUCUUGAUUGGUUCAAUAGAUUAGUUAUGGGGGUGGAAGACGCUUCUCACCACCAUGUCUCUCCUUAUGAUUAAAUUAAUUAGGGAACAUCCUCUAAUUAAUUACUAAUUAACAAAUUGUCAAGGAACGUCCUUGGGUCAUAGGCAUCAAAACAAUUAUCAAUUGCAUAAAGAAAUAGAGAGAUCCAAUCCUAGCUACCCAAACGUAUGGAGAUAACGCUAGAUCAUGCAAUUUUCUUGGGUUUUAUCCCAAGUGUUCUAAGGUCAGAAUAUUUCCAGCAAUUACGGACUAAAAAUAAUCCCAACUAACAAUCAAUUAACUUUGCAAUUAAAAUCAAGUGGCCAAUUUGAUCAAAACAACAAAGUAAUCAUGUAAUUAAAGCAUCAAUUGCAUAAAUAUUGAACAAAACCAAAGACAAUAAUUUAUGUUCAGAUCUCACAACCAAUUAAACAACCUUAGUUUCAAC